GCUCCGGUGGCCUAGUGGUUAAAGUGUCCGCAUUGGAUGCGGGGGUCAUGGAUUCGAUCCCCGGUCGAGUCA
This is a non-coding RNA of Potamilus streckersoni, 72 nucleotides long. NCBI's taxonomy places the organism in Eukaryota, Metazoa, Mollusca, Bivalvia, Unionida, Unionidae. The record is from the annotation of a GenBank genome assembly.